This is a small nuclear RNA of Octodon degus (degu), 191 nucleotides long. Its record names the gene U2. It matches the Rfam family "U2 spliceosomal RNA". From Rfam's summary of the family: U2 is a small nuclear RNA (snRNA) component of the spliceosome (involved in pre-mRNA splicing). Lineage: Eukaryota; Metazoa; Chordata; Mammalia; Rodentia; Octodontidae. The record is from Ensembl.
AUUGCUUCUUGGUCUUUUGGCUAUGAUCAAGUAUAGUAUCUGUUCUUACCAGUUUAAUAUCUGCUAUGUCCUCUAUCUGAGAACAAUACAUUAAGUGGAGUUUUGGAGCUGGGAGAUGGACUAGGAGUUUGCUCUGUCCACUCCACAUGUUGACCUAGUAUUUCAGUACCUCCAGGAACAGUGCAUGCACC